UACGGAGGGAGCUAGCGUUGUUCGGAAUUACUGGGCGUAAAGCGCACGUAGGCGGCUAUUCAAGUCGGGGGUGAAAGCCCGGGGCUCAACCCCGGAACUGCCCUCGAAACUAGGUAGCUAGAAUCUUGGAGAGGCGAGUGGAAUUCCGAGUGUAGAGGUGAAAUUCGUAGAUAUUCGGAAGAACACCAGUGGCGAAGGCGACUCGCUGGACAAGUAUUGACGCUGAGCUGCGAAAGCGUGGGGAGCAAACAGG
This 253-nucleotide ribosomal RNA is filed under the name uncultured bacterium. RNAcentral describes it as "partial 16S ribosomal RNA". It matches the Rfam family "Bacterial small subunit ribosomal RNA", at positions 524 to 776 of the family's 1533-position model. The record is from RNAcentral.